AAAUACAGACAAAAGAUACCUACUGAUUACUUGCUAAACAUUGAUGCGCAUCAAGCUGUAACUGCGCUAUACUCUCCCUAGAAGACCGACCUUUGCGAAAACCAAACUGAUUAUUAGGCAAAAGACAAUUUUGUUCUAUAAAGAACUCGAGACGUUGUUUUAGAAGCUGCUCAAAUAUCUUCCCAACACAAGACGUGAGAGCUAUAGGUCUAUAAGAGUCAGCAUUUAAAACUGCUUCUGUACACCUCUGAUUCCACCAAGGCAACCAAGGAUAUUUAAAAGAUUUUUGUGAACAAGAACUAGUAACAUUAUUACUAUUAGAACUUUUGGAAAACAGACAGCUAGGGAUUGACUGCUUGGCAGCAGAAAGUAAAGUAUUACAAAAGGAAUUAAAAGCAUCUAUUGAAGAUAAAGUGUCAAAUUUAACAUCAUCCAAAUAAGAAACAACUAAGUUACUAUACAUAUUCCAAUUCACCUGCUUAUAAUUAGGGGAGAUGAUAACUACUGCCCAGAGGACUGUCAAUAACUGACCAGUCACAUAAAAGAGCCAAUGAUGGAGUUACCAAAGUCAAGUCAAGAGCAUUAGGAUGCCAAGAUGGAGAUCCUAUUGUGGUAGCUUGACCAUUAUUCAGAAUAACAAGACCAUUCUCAUCUAUAACCUCUAAAACAUCUUUACCUCGAGGCAAUGUAUCAACACAUCCCCACAACAUGUGAUGAGCAUUGAAAUCACCUGCAAAUAUCAUUGGCUCUGGAAUGGACUUAAUUAAACUGUUUAAAUUGUUUUUAUUAAAUGGAGGAUUUGAAUUGGAAGGACUGUAAAAACUCAGAAUACUCAGUUCUUUGUUAUUAAUUUUAAUUUUAAUGCAAACAUUUUGUAGAGCACUAUCAUAAUAUGU
Leptidea sinapis is the source of this 896-nucleotide long non-coding RNA. RefSeq lists it as uncharacterized. The transcript has 3 exons. Lineage: Eukaryota; Metazoa; Arthropoda; Insecta; Lepidoptera; Pieridae. The record is from RefSeq and is a predicted model, not a curated record.